UAAAUCUUGCUGCUGCUCACUCUUUGGGUCUGUGCCACCUUUAAGAGCUGUAACACUCUCUGCGAAGGUCUGUGGCUUCAUUCUUGAAGUCAGCGAGACCAAGAACCCAGUGGAAGGAACCAACUAUGGACACAUCUUGGUGACCCAGAUGGGACUAUCGCCAAGCGGAGACGAAGGACCCUGGUGUUUCUCCAGUCAUUGGAGCCAUAUCAUUUUGGUGCAUUGGCUGGAAAUCCAAGGUACAACACUCAUCGGAGCGGUGAGUAUAGGAGCGGACUUUCUACUUUCAUUUCCAAGGCUUCUCGUCCUCAGUUUUUAUUCUCUCAAAUAACUAUAUAAAAAAACAAAAACAAAGAAACAAACAAAAAACUGGUGUCAUUUGGCUGAUUAAUGAGCCACUAGGGCUGGCCACUGGUCUAAAACAAACAAACAAACAAACAAAAAACGGGUGUCCUUCGGCUAAUAAGCCACAAGAGCUAGCCACAGAUGGUCUAAAAGACUCAGGUGUGAGGCUUGCUAAGGAGGACUUAGUCAAUCCCCUUGUGUCCUCAGGGUGCUGGGAAUGUUGGCUCUGUCCAAAUCAGUCUCCUUUCAUGAGAAAUAUUCGCAAUUGCGUGAGGAUGGGAAAAGUACUGAAGCAACUGAGAAUCUCUGGCCAGGGCACACCCUGGUGUUAUUCAAAGGCUUCUGGACCUGACCCAGCCUCCGACAGCCCACUCUGGGUGUUGGUAGAGAAUCCCCAGCUAUCCUGUCACAUAACUUACCUUCUUUUUUUUAUCUGCAGUCUCUUACUCUCUUUCUGUGUGUGUCAAAUGUGUGGGAAUUUUUACAGUUCAGGGAAACAGGUCUGUUAGGAAAGAUUGACAAAAACGGCAGGCAGUAACUCAAUAAGCGUCUCUACUAUGUUCCUGGGGAGCACAUGGUAUUUCUAAGCCAACAGCGCUACCUAGUGGAUACAGAAAUCCUCUACAUGAGGCACAUUUUUUAAAGUAACACUGCAGCUUCUUUUUGCGCCACUAGAAAUCAGGCUCUAAGCCCCUUCUGUGAGUGGGGAAAUUCUGCUUUCAACUAUUAAGAAUAAAAUGUCCACCACAGCCAAAUUUUAGUCCUGAUACUGUCCCAUCAGCAGGAAAAUUGCCAUUAGGUCCCCACGUCCCUUUAAGACACCUAGCCUCUUUCCUAUUAGAAGCGUAUUUAAUUAGGGGAUUUUAAGUCCAGAGGGUAACCAGAGCCAUUUUUCUAAGGGUAAAUGCUUUAGCACGAGCCAUAAUAGCAGGAAGUCUAGCAUAUUUCCUCCAUUAAAGGAGCCUUGCCCAAAGACGACACAGUCUCUCUGGAGAUCCGUUUUCUGGCAAGCCAGGCAGAUCACAUAGGUUUAGGAAGUCAAAGGGGAAUCACACAAGGCAAUAAGAUAAGUUGCAUGGAUAAUGCAUGAUUAAUCCCAUCACUUAGUUUAUUCAGUUCCAUGGCUUGGAGGGCUAUGCCUACAACCAUGGGCAGCACAUUUAACAGGGUGCCUGGACCUAGGAACCAGGGAGGGAAAAGAGUCGGAAGGAUUGCCCACAACCAUAGGCAGCACAUUUAACAGGGUGCCUGGACCCAAGAUCCAGGGAGGGAAAACAGUCGGAAGGAUGCUCCACUGUGUUAUUCUCCACCCUGGGUCAUAUGGAAAGGAAGGAGACAAAAAAGAUGCUUUUAUUCUCACUUCUUUUUUUUAAUGGGUAACAAUAUCUUCAGCUUGCACCCCUUUGGAGUGUACUCUGAAGCACUGGAACUUUUUUAACCUCAGGACUUUGAAGAGAAAAGCGACUCAUUUUCUUUUGCACAAGGGCAUAACAUUUUUACUAAACCUUUGCAAGCAUUAUAAGACCAUUCCAGCUCUCUUAGCGAUAAUAUUGGGCAAGGCCACAGGAAAUUGUUCCCCAGAGCUAAAGCAGAUUUCAGAGGAGCAAUCUGAGACAACUAUUGAAUGCCCCAACCCUUCCAGCCCCCCUCAUUCAGAACCCCCUCCAAUCAUACCAUCAGCUCCUCCAGCUCCACCAUCUCCAGUAUUACCCACUUUCCCUGCUUCUCUCUUACCUCUGCAGGAAAUGCCUGAUGGAAAUGAUGCCAUGAGGGUUCAAGUUCCCUUCUCAUUACAGGACCUUAGGCAAAUAAAGAGAGAUAUAGGCAGAUUUUCUGACGACACUGAUAGGUAUAUGAAAGCUUUCCAAAAUUUAACUCGGGUGUUUUACCACACAUGGAAGGAUGUUAUACUGCUCCUAAACCAAACCUUAAUGGUAGCUGAAAAGCAGGCAGCUCUUCAAGCAGCAGAUAAUUUCAGAGAUGAGCAACAUAUCUCCUAUAAUACACCAAAAGGGAAGGAAAAACUUGGGGAAAGUGAAAAAAUAGCAGAAACACCAUUCCCAAUGGGAAGGGAAGCAGUUCCCCUUGACAAUCCUGAUUGGUACCCCAGUAGCUCUGCAGAUGAAUGGAAAAGAAAGCACUAUUUAAUAUGCAUUUUAGAGGGCCUAUGAAGAACUAAGACCAGACCUCUCAAUUAUUCUAAACUGUCUAUGAUAAAUCAAAAACCCAGAUGAGAAUCCUGUAGCCUUUAUGGAAAGGCUGAGAGAGGCACUAAUAAAACACACCUCCUUAACCCCUGAUUCAGUCAAGGGGCAGCUCAUCUUGAAGGAGAAGUUUAUUACACAGGUAGCUCCCGAUAUUAGAAGGAAACAACAGAAGCAAGCUAUAGGACCAGAUAGCACCUUAGAGAACCUCCUGAAGGUGGCCACUUCUGUCUUUUAUAAUACAGACUAGGAGGAGGCCCAAAAGAAAGAGAGAAAGCUCAAGAGAAGAACAGAAGCUCUAGUAGUGGCUUUGCAGGCUUGCAAAGUCCAGGGUACCCAAGGUGCAUCCACUAGCUCCUAUCAAUGUGGCAAGUCAGGGCAUUUUAAUAAGAAAUACCUGGGCAGCAAGACAAAACCACCUCAACCCUGUCCAGCCUGUGGUGGAGACCACUGAAGUUGUAACUGCCCCUGGAGAUGGAGGUCACUGGGUUCAGAACCAGUCUCACAGAUAGAUCAACAGGACUGAUGGGUUCUGGGGCUCAAACCUCCAGCUCCAGUGGCUCAAACUGCCAUUACAGCACAGGAGCCCUGCGUGAUUCUGGAAAUUGAAGAAAUGAAAGUAGACAUCCUUCUAAACACUGGAACCAGUCUCUCUCUCUUUUCUCCUCUCUAAUUCAGGCCUCUCCUCUUCCCAUAGCACGACUGUAAGGGACAUCUCGGGAAAAACUCUAACCCAGUAUUUUUCUCAGCCUUAGUUGCAGUUAAGAGGACCUAUUGUUCACACAUGCUUCCAAGCCAUUGUCACGAUAGUUUAUGACUCAGAAAAGCCUCCAAAUUAACCUCAGGAAAUAAUUUAACUGUUUACACUCCACAUAACAUUGCAUGAUCACUGUCCUCCAGAGUAAGCUCUUAGCUAACAAACAGCCAGUAAAGCAAGAAGUACAUAAGGCAGAAUAAGCAGUAGUUACUCUUCCCAGACACAAGCACUCAAUUAGUUGAACUAAUAGCUCUUACAAGAACACUUAAAUUAAGCAAGGGAAAGAUAGCUAACAUUUACACUGAUUCCAAGUAUGCUUUUUUAGCUCUCCACGUUCAUGCCGCCAUUUAAAAGGAAAGGCAUUUUCUUACCACGAGCGGAUCUGCUAUAAAUAUCACCAUAAAUUAGCAGGUUAUUAUUCUCAGUUUUUCUUCCAUGAGAAAUAGCAGGGAUGCAUUGUAGGGGACCUCAAAAGGAAACAAAUAAAGUAGCCAAAGGAAAUAGGUUAGCUGAUCAGGCAGCUAAGUCAGUGGCAAGGAAGCCUCAAGACAUUAACAUACUUUAAAUGCCUCUAAUCUAGGAAGGCUCCAUAAGAGAAAUUAAACAUUACUAUUUGCCUGCAGAAAUAGAAUAGGCCUCUUGUCGAAGGCAUACUUUCCAGCCCUCAGGAUGGCUACAGUCAGAGGAUAGCAAACUCCAUUUGCCAGCCCCCAGCCAAUGGAAAGUCCUUAAAAUCCUUCACCAAGCUUUUCACUUAGGAAAGGAUAAGACCUAUCAAUGUGCUCAGAAUUUGUUUUCAGGCAGGAAAGUUCUAAAUUGGCUAGACAUAUAACCUCUCUAGCUCACUUCCAACAAGAAUUAACACAACUAUCAGAAGCCCAACCCAGGAAAUAGAACCACGUUUAUUUAACCCAGAAAAUUGGGUGUUAGUGAAAAAUCUCAUCUCUCCUUCCCUAAGACAAGCUGGGAAGGGGCCUACACUGUUCUUCUUUCAACCCCCUUUGCAAUAAAAGUUACAGGAAUCAACUUCUGAAUACAUCACACUCAAGUCAAAGCCUGAAGCGCUGAGGGAGCAACACCUACCAGCCCAGAGGAACGUCCUGAAUAUCAAUGUGAAGAAAUAGGAGAUCUUAAGCUGAAAAUCAUAACAAAUACAUAAUGAGUGAGGGAUACUCAUUUUACUCAGUCCCAUUCCUACCUCACCAGAUAGUUUUCAUUAUUUCUACCCUUUCCUCUUAAAUUCACUGCUGAAUAUUAGAACUUCUAUUAAUGCAUAUUUGCAGGAUGAUUUUAAUUAUUCAUAGAAUCGCAUUUAUAAAUUUGUAGAUCCCCACAGGAAAAUGUUAUAUCUCAGCAAGUAAACUUUUAAACGGAAAUUAUUUUCUAUGCCACUAUUGUGGGAAUUGUUAUAGUCAUACUACUACUUCCAAUAGAACUAUACACUGCGGGACCCACAAUGUGAAAUUCUGGUUGUAAAAUUCUAAUUGCUAUAAUAUUUUGCCUGAUUAUCAUCCUUAUAACAGGGUUAAUAAUUGCAGGAAAGAUUAAGCCAAGGUUAUUUUGCUUAUAGCAGGACUAAUAGUUACAGAUAAGAACUAAGCAUGAAAGUUUUACUAUCAUUAAGUUUGAUAGGACUUUUUAUUGAAGAUUGGUAAUAUGGUGCACUCUAAAUUAUGGAAAGAGGUUAUAAAGGAAGGAAUUUUAUAUAUAAGAAAGGAUUUUCUAUGGUAAAUUUUUGUCUUAAGGGGAAAUGACUGGUUGUUUAAAGAAAGGAUGUUUAGAACAAGUCUUGAGUAUGUUGUAAGAGAUCCAUGAAAUUCAUGAAAGAAUUUAAUAAUUAAAGAAAAAAAUCAUCAAGAUUAACGUUAAGGUUAUUUUAGCCACCCAAUAAUGUAUUUCUCCCAAUCAUAUUGCAAGUUAUAAAAAUAGCCUAAAACUAAAGUUACUCUCUAAUAAGUCAAGGGGGAAAUGUAUGCUUUUCUCAAGGAAAAUGUUACUUUUAUAUUAACGUUUCUGGUAAUUACAGCAACAUCUAGUGGAGACAAACCAGCAUUACAAUCCACUGGUGUAACUAACAGUAUCAAACUCUACUCUCAGUUAUGGUCUAUAGGACCCCCAUUAAGAGUGGUCAUCUUAAUGCUAAUAUUCUAACCCUAUAUUUUAAACCUCCUUGUAAAAUGCAUAUACUUUUACCUAGAAGCAAUCAAACUCCAAAUGGUGCUGCAGACAGCCACAUAAGGACAUGUGAUUCUUCCGAGAACUUUUAGAUCAACCUCAGAAGGCCCAACUGCUGUUCCCCCCACAUGAACGCCCCUUUUCCAGCAGGAAUUAGCUAGAAAGAAUUAUUGUCCAAAGCCCCCUAACAGCAGGUAGGUUUACUUCUCUUGAGGGGGACUAAUACAGGAGUUAUUUAGAAAUAAUUUUUAGGCAACUAGAAAGGGUAAAGGUUCUCAGUGGAAAUAUCCUUUAAUAAAAAGCAACCCUUAAAACAUUUUUUUUCUAACAGAAAGUGGCUUGAAAAAUCAGACUAAGCAUUGAUAUGUAAAUGCCAGUGAUUAGAAACCAGGUCCAACCAACAUGGCAGUUCCCUCCCUCUUCUCCUUUUCACCAUGUGUGCCAGGUGUGAUGGCCACCUCCAGAUAACACCACGUGUGCAAGACAUCAUGGCGACCAGCAUUUGCAUAUUAAAAGACUAGGGUGAGAGGGCCAGGUUUUUCAUGGGCUACAUGAAUGACACAUCUGGUCACACCAAUCCCCUGGGCCCUAUGCAAAUUAGAAACCACCUCCUUUAGCCUCUGAAUAUAACCAACUACGUUUCCACCACAUGUGGGGUUUUUCUCCAUUCAGGGCCCCCCUCCCUCUCUAUGGAGGGAGCCUUUCUUCUUCUUUCUUGCCUAAUUAAACUUUCCACUUUUUAAAACCA
Molecule: long non-coding RNA, 6229 nt
Organism: Homo sapiens (human)
Lineage: Eukaryota; Metazoa; Chordata; Mammalia; Primates; Hominidae
Exons: 2
Source: RefSeq, a predicted model, not a curated record